GGGAACUCUGACACGAGGUGCUGCAGUGGCUGUCGUCAGCUCGUGUCGUGAGAUGGUUGGGUUAACGUACCGUAACGAGCGCAACCUUGUCCUUAGUUACCAGCACGUUAUGGUGGGCACUCUAAGGAGACUGCCGGUGACAAACCGGAGGAAGGUGGGGAUGACGUCAAGUCAUCAUGGCCCUUACGGCCUGGGCUACACACGUGCUACAAUGGUCGGUACAAAGGGUUGCCAAGCCGCGAGGUGGAGCUAAUCCCAUAAAACCGAUCGUAGUCCGGAUCGCAGUCUGCAACUCGACUGCGUGAAGUCGGAAUCGCUAGUAAUCGUGAAUCAGAAUGUCACGGUGAAUACGUUCCCGGGCCUU
Molecule: ribosomal RNA, 364 nt
Filed under: uncultured Pseudomonas sp.
Lineage: Bacteria; Pseudomonadati; Pseudomonadota; Gammaproteobacteria; Pseudomonadales; Pseudomonadaceae
Description: bacterial SSU rRNA
Rfam family: Bacterial small subunit ribosomal RNA
Source: RNAcentral